Acromyrmex echinatior (Panamanian leafcutter ant) is the source of this 710-nucleotide long non-coding RNA. The record is from RefSeq and is a predicted model, not a curated record. NCBI's taxonomy places the organism in Eukaryota, Metazoa, Arthropoda, Insecta, Hymenoptera, Formicidae.
UAAUAAGUCAUUAGUCAUAAAUAAGGAGUCAGAAGCUGAAAAUUGACGACUGAUUUCAAUUCUCAAUUUUUAGCUUCCGAUUUCCUAAUUCAUUUCUACUCUCAAUCAUACUUUAAUUUUGGGGUGAAUUCGACGUGACCAGAAUAUAAGCAUCCAUCAACCAAGGACCCGAACAUCAUAAAGCCACACUGAUCGCCAUAGGCAUCCUCAAGGGAAACCAACAACAGGGUAAACUCUAUUCGACAUUCAUCAGGAUAACAUUGUCUGGCGCUCUGAAGCACAUGGUGCAUGGACGCCGCCAUACUUGAGCCUGAACGUUAUCUCUGCUCAUCUGUCGCAUGCCGCGUGUCGCGUCUGCGUAUCCGUCGAAUCCGAUGCGGGUGUGUGAUUAGGGUGCUUCGUUUCGCCAAUCAGCCGCAUGACGGUUCAUCAAUAUGUGCCCUAAUUCGGGAGUGUGCACGCCGCGAUAUUGUGGACGACACCUACCAUGCUUGAAUUUCUAAUUCAGUUUGCAUGAAUGGGAGUCUAUUUGCACCGCGUCGAUCGGAAAAUUCUUUGUACCACGUGUUAUACUUUAGAGCCAUCUCACAUGCGAGAAGCUUACUACUUCGCCGACCGCCAUUGCUUACACAUCAAGUUGCUGCUUCGCGCUGAUAGUUUAACUUUUUCAGAAAUUCUUCUACAUCAGGAACCUGCAGAUUCUCCCGUCC